This 440-nucleotide ribosomal RNA is filed under the name uncultured bacterium. RNAcentral's name for it is "partial 16S ribosomal RNA". It matches the Rfam family "Bacterial small subunit ribosomal RNA", at positions 338 to 795 of the family's 1533-position model. The record is from RNAcentral.
CCUACGGGUGGCAGCAGUGGGGGAUAUUGCACAAUGGGGGAAACCCUGAUGCAGCGACGCCGCGUGUGGGAAGACGGUCCUCUGGAUUGUAAACCACUGUCCCCAGGGACGAAGAUGAUGGUACCUGGGGAGGAAGCUCCGGCUAACUCCGUGCCAGCAGCCGCGGUAAUACGGAGGAUGCGAGCGUUAUCCGGAUUUAUUGGGUUUAAAGGGUGCGUAGGCGGACGCUUAAGUCAGCGGUAAAAUUGCGGGGCUCAACCUCGUCGAGCCGUUGAAACUGGGUGCCUUGAGUGGGCGAGAAGUACGCGGAAUGCGUGGUGUAGCGGUGAAAUGCAUAGAUAUCACGCAGAACUCCGAUUGCGAAGGCAGCGUACCGGCGCCCAACUGACGCUGAAGCACGAAGGCGUGGGUAUCGAACAGGAUUAGAUACCCCUGUAGUC